Molecule: non-coding RNA, 98 nt
Filed under: unclassified sequences
Description: L2-Alphaproteobacteria ribosomal protein leader
Rfam family: L2-Alphaproteobacteria ribosomal protein leader
Source: RNAcentral
GGGGACCUCAGGGGCCCUACACACAUAGACAGCCGGGCCCAUACCCGGCGCGACCCAAAGAGCGGACCUCUGGUCCGACGCAAAACGGAAGACAGAAA